UACGUAGGUGGCGAGCGUUGUCCGGAAUUACUGGGUGUAAAGCGCGUGUAGGCGGCAGGCCAAGUCGGUGGUGAAAGCGCCCGGCUCAACUGGGCGAGGUCCAUGGAAACUGGUCAGCUGGAGGACGGUAGAGGCGAGUGGAAUUCCCGGUGUAGCGGUGAAAUGCGCAGAUAUCGGGAGGAACACCUAUGGCGAAGGCAGCUCGCUGGGACGUUACUGACGCUGAGACGCGAAAGCGUGGGGAGCAAACAGG
This 253-nucleotide ribosomal RNA is filed under the name uncultured bacterium. RNAcentral describes it as "partial 16S ribosomal RNA". It matches the Rfam family "Bacterial small subunit ribosomal RNA", at positions 524 to 776 of the family's 1533-position model. The record is from RNAcentral.